CUCCUUGCUUGUUAGAGAAGUAAACUGAUGAGAGCACUGGAUGAGGGUCUAUCAUCUAUGGUCUGUUAUAAUUUGCUUUUUAUGCAAAUAGUGAGCAAAAAUUCAAGCAAAACUGUACAAGUUACAUAUAUAGUACUAUAUCAGUACUAUACACGAACUUUUAUCGCUGGAUAAUUUUGCGAGUUUUCAUCCAAUUCAAUCAUAUAUAUGCUCAAAAUCUUCGCGGCAAGUUUCUCUUUACCAUAAAAUUUGACCGAAUAAGUUUCAAAACAAUGCGACGGCAAAAAAUGCAAAAGUCCUGAUUUUCGUAAUAGAAUUUAUAGUCUUUUUGCCCUGUUGUACCGCCAUCUUGGAUUUAUCAUGUAGGCCCCGCCUGCGCUAGGUAUGCGUUAGCAAUCUAGAUCUCCUAUAUCUAUG
This 417-nucleotide long non-coding RNA is filed under the name Paramuricea clavata. Lineage: Eukaryota; Metazoa; Cnidaria; Anthozoa; Malacalcyonacea; Plexauridae. The record is from RNAcentral.